GACGAACGCUGGCGGCGUGCCUAAUACAUGCAAGUAGAACGCUGAAGGAGGAGCUUGCUUCUCUGGAUGAGUUGCGAACGGGUGAGUAACGCGUAGGUAACCUGCCUGGUAGCGGGGGAUAACUAUUGGAAACGAUAGCUAAUACCGCAUAAUAGUAGAUGUUGCAUGACAUUUGCUUAAAAGGUGCAAUUGCAUCACUACCAGAUGGACCUGCGUUGUAUUAGCUAGUUGGUGGGGUAACGGCUCACCAAGGCGACGAUACAUAGCCGACCUGAGAGGGUGAUCGGCCACACUGGGACUGAGACACGGCCCAGACUCCUACGGGAGGCAGCAGUAGGGAAUCUUCGGCAAUGGACGGAAGUCUGACCGAGCAACGCCGCGUGAGUGAAGAAGGUUUUCGGAUCGUAAAGCUCUGUUGUAAGAGAAGAACGAGUGUGAGAGUGGAAAGUUCACACUGCGACGGUAGCUUACCAGAAAGAGACGGCUAACUACGUG
This 495-nucleotide ribosomal RNA is filed under the name uncultured bacterium. RNAcentral describes it as "partial 16S ribosomal RNA". It matches the Rfam family "Bacterial small subunit ribosomal RNA", at positions 28 to 507 of the family's 1533-position model. The record is from RNAcentral.